UCAGGAGUGAAUGCUGGCGGCGGUGCCUAACACAUGCAAGUCGAGCGGCGAGCGAGGGGUGCUGCACCCUGUCGGCGAGCGGCGAACGGCUGAGUAACGGCUAGGAAUUUAGCCCAAAGUGAGGAAUAACUGCCCGAAAGGUAGCUAAUGCCGCAUAUGGUCUUCGGAUUAAAGGAUUUAUCCGCUUUGGGAGAGGCCUGCGUUGGAUUAGGUUGUUGGUAGGGUAAUGGCCUACCAAGCCGACGAUCCAUAGCUGGUCUGAGAGGAUGAUCAGCCAGACUGGAACUGAGACACGGUCCCAGACUCCUACGGGAGGCAGCAGUGAGGAAUCUUCCACAAUAGGCGAAAGCCUGAUGGAGCAACGCCGCGUGAAGGAUGAAGGCCUUCGGGUUGUAAACUUCUUUUAUGAGUGAAGAAUAUGACGGUAACUCAUGAAUAAGCACCGGCUAACUACGUG
RNAcentral lists this ribosomal RNA (457 nucleotides) under uncultured bacterium. Its description in RNAcentral is "bacterial SSU rRNA". It matches the Rfam family "Bacterial small subunit ribosomal RNA", at positions 27 to 507 of the family's 1533-position model. The record is from RNAcentral.